RNAcentral lists this ribosomal RNA (553 nucleotides) under uncultured bacterium. Its description in RNAcentral is "bacterial SSU rRNA". It matches the Rfam family "Bacterial small subunit ribosomal RNA", at positions 277 to 846 of the family's 1533-position model. The record is from RNAcentral.
AGAUGCCUAGCUGGUGUGAGAGCACGACCAGCGCCACUGGCACUGAGACACUGGCCAGACACCUACGGGUGGCUGCAGUCGAGAAUCUUCGGCAAUGAGCGCAAGCUUGACCGAGCGACGCCGCGUGCGGGAUGAAGGCCUUCGGGUUGUAAACCGCUGUCAGGGGGGAUCAAAACAAUGAGAGAUCCCCAGAGGAAGCACGGGCUAAGUUCGUGCCAGCAGCCGCGGUAAGACGAACCGUGCGAACGUUGUUCGGAAUCACUGGGCUUAAAGGGCGCGUAGGCGGCUUGCAUAGUCGGUGGUGAAAUCUUUCGGCUUAACCGGAAAAUUGCCUCCGAUACUAGUAGGCUCGAGCGAGGUAGGGGCAGAUGGAACUUCCGGUGGAGCGGUGAAAUGUGUUGAUAUCGGAAGGAACGCCGGUGGCGAAAGCGAUCUGCUGGACCUCUUCUGACGCUGAGGCGCGAAAGCCAGGGGAGCAAACGGGAUUAGAUACCCCGGUAGUCCUGGCCUUAAACGAUGGGUACUGAGUAGUGGACUUACAUGGGUUCACUGC